Molecule: ribosomal RNA, 492 nt
Filed under: uncultured bacterium
Lineage: Bacteria
Description: partial 16S ribosomal RNA
Rfam family: Bacterial small subunit ribosomal RNA
Source: RNAcentral
AGUGAACGCUGGCGGUAGGCCUAACACAUGCAAGUCGAACGGCAGCACAGUAAGAGCUUGCUCUUACGGGUGGCGAGUGGCGGACGGGUGAGGAAUACAUCGGAAUCUACUUUUUCGUGGGGGACAACGGAGGGAAACUUACGCUAAUACCGCAUACGACCUACGGGUGAAAGCAGGGGAUCUUCGGACCUUUCGCGAUUGAAUGAGACGAUGUCGGAUUAGCUAGUUGGCGGGGUAAAGGCCCACCAAGGCGACGAUCCGUAGCUGGCCUGAGAGGAUGAUCAGCCACACUGGAACUGAGACACGGUCCAGACUCCUACGGGAGGCAGCAGUGGGGAAUAUUGGACAAUGGGCGCAAGCCUGACCCAGCCAUACCGCGUGGGUGAAGAAGGCCUUCGGGUUGUAAAGCCCUUUUGUUGGGAAAGAAAAGCAGCAGGUUAAUACCCCGCUGUUCUGACGGUACCCAAAGAAUAAGCACCGGCUAACUUCGUG